RNAcentral lists this ribosomal RNA (451 nucleotides) under uncultured bacterium. RNAcentral's name for it is "bacterial SSU rRNA". It matches the Rfam family "Bacterial small subunit ribosomal RNA", at positions 10 to 507 of the family's 1533-position model. The record is from RNAcentral.
AGUUUGAUCAUGGCUCAGAACGGACGCUGGCGGCAGGCUUAACACAUGCAAGUCGAGCGAACCCUUCGGGGUUAGCGGCGGACGGGUGAGUAACGCGUGGGAACGUGCCCUUCUCUACGGAAUAGCCCAGGGAAACUUGGAUUAAUACCGUAUACGCCCUUCGGGGGAAAGAUUUAUCGGCAAAGGAUCGGCCCGCGUUGGAUUAGGUAGUUGGUGGGGUAAUGGCCUACCAAGCCGACGAUCCAUAGCUGGUUUGAGAGGAUGAUCAGCCACACUGGGACUGAGACACGGCCCAGACUCCUACGGGAGGCAGCAGUGGGGAAUCUUAGACAAUGGGCGCAAGCCUGAUCUAGCCAUGCCGCGUGAGCGAUGAAGGCCUUAGGGUUGUAAAGCUCUUUCAGUGGGGAAGAUAAUGACUGUACCCACAGAAGAAGCCCCGGCUAACUCCGUG